GUGGAUUUGGAAAGCGGGGCCGAAUUUUUUAAUUGGACUAAGCCCAACGCCCUGAGUUCAAGGGGAGAGAAAACAACAACUGAAGGGGGCACUGGCGGAUUUGGACUUUUGGAAAACUUUCCGUGUCCCCGGGCCUGAGGUGUUUCCAAGGGCAGGAAGUCGCCCCGGAUGGCACGGCGGGGCCGCGUGCUGGGCCGGGGGGGGGCGCGGGAACCCCUCGUUUCGGGACGUGAGGUGUGGAAACCUCCCCAGAGGAGAAUGGCGAGCGCUUUCCCGGGCAGGGGUGGCCUGGAGAGGUCUGCCACCAGCGGCCUGCGCUCUGGCUCACUUCAUAAAUGUUUAUUUUUUUCCUUCGUUCCCUCAGAGAUACUGUGGCCUGUAAUCAAAGUGCUUUAGGACUGCUGUACACAGUCUAAGGCGCCUAUAUGUUCCUGUAUAUAGAUAAAUAGGACAUACAGCAUAAAGCCAAUGGAGGAGGAAGGCCUUGGCCCUCGCUCUGCACGGGCAGUGCAGGCCGCGUUCCCCUCUGCCUGUGGUGUGUGCAGUGUUUGUAAGCACUCAUCUCCUGACAUGUUUUCCACCCAGGGGAGCCCAGGAGAAGACCUGCACGACAACCAUGACGGAGACAGUGCCGCUUGGGGUAAACAGGAGAGAGAAAGGCCCGUGUGUGCGUGCCUUAUGAAUAAACCGGCUAUUAGGCUGAUGCUUCCAGUAACACUACCCAGCAGCAAGGUACAAAAUGUCUGAAUUGGACUCUGAUCUUGUGAUGCCAGCCUCGUAAUAACUACUGUUUUACAUUAACGAUGUCUUGGUUCUUGUAGCUUGGUUGUUCGGCUUAUAGCUAAAAUAGUUGGAGAUCCCCUAUGAUCAGGUUGUGAAGCUGAUGCUAGUAUUACACCACCGGGUUUGUUGUUUUUACAUUGGUGGAGGCUCCCCUCCUUUUUGAGGUAGAGAAAGGGCUUAUGAAUUAAGACCUGAUUUUCUGAUUUACCUGCCUUAAUAUGCAUGCAUUUUAGUGGUAUUGAAUAAAGGUGGUGACCAGUUUCUGGUGGAAGUGAUAAUUUUUAAAUGUACUAAGAUUACGUUGAUGUUUAAAAAUUGUAUCUCUUGUUGCAUAUUAAAAGAGUCAAAGAUUAAAUGUAGGGCAAAAGGGGGGAAAAAAUCUCGCUAUUUAGAAAAAUAUCAUCUUUUUAUUGAUCUCUAGUACCUGUCAAUGCAACUUGAAUUUAUUGAAAUUGUAAAAUAAAACCUGUACUAUUUAAAUGACUUAUAAAAGUUAUCAUAUGCAAUGAAUCUCAAUGGGUAAAUGUUAUGUGUGCAAUGAGCAUUCUUGCAGACAGACAGUGCAGGUCCAGUAGCCGAAUUGUCACUAUUCACUAGUAGUUGGAUGUUGGGGUGUUUGUGGGUUUUGUGAGUGUGUUGGUUGCUUAUUUUUAGGUAUAACUGUGCCAAGUGAGUCUUCUGUUCUAAUAGCUGCGUUGCAGUUUCAAACUUUGUUCUUGAAUCUUUAGUAUUAAAUUACAUGUUUAUUACCUAUCUGCUGAACUGCUGCUAUAUAGAGAGGAGGCCACAGUGGCUCUUGUCAGUGUGCCACUAACUCUGCUCUCUGGUGUGUGAAAUAUUCUUGCUCAUUUCCAUUUUCAUUUCUGCUUCUGCUGCUCAUGAAUUGUGGCAACAUUAUAUUUUGAUUAGAGUAACUAGUAUCACUAGCUGUAUGCUACUUAUAUUAAACAGUAAACUGUAAAUCCUUAGAAACUGAAGUUAGUGUAUUUUAUCUGUUUAUGUGUAUGUGCCUGUGUAUAUAUAUGUGUUUAGAAAAUAUAGCCUAUUUGAUGGACUAGUGAAGACAGUAAAUUCACUCUUAAAUCUGCAGACAGUAGCAUGUAAUAAAGGUGCAAUCUGAAAAUAAACACAAGAAUUGCAGGAUGGGCAUCUGGUAGAAGAAAAAGGGUCAGAAACCCAGUGGCAGAUUCUAGUGACAGCUCAACCAUUUUUAAUAAAAAAUGUUGAAGUGUUGCAGUUAACUGCAUAUGUUAGGCUAGAGACUAACUGCAUAGCUUGCUGUGACAAAUAUACACUUCAACAAGGGGUAUUUACUCAGCAAGGUAUUAGUCCUACCCGUUCUUACUGAAUAAUGUUUUAAAAUUAUGUAUUACCUUUUAGUGUGCAAGCUUCUUUUAAAGAGGCUGCUACUUUGUAUAGGCAUAAGUGGCUAGUCUUCAAUGGAACAGGAUUAAAUCAUAAAUUAAUGGUCUUAUGCAUGAAAUGAAAUGCUCAACAGUACGGCAAAGGUAGGAAAGCAGAUGUGCAGUAUUACAAACUACUUCUGCACACUUGUACAGUAUUUCCACUACAGUUAGUGGAACUUAACUACCCGAGCAGGCGUGGCUUAGAUAACACUAAUGCUGUUUGUUUAUUUAAAUUACUUAGGGCACUUCCCUCCUGACAUGUCGUGUGCUUUCCUCAUGUCAACUUUAUUUUUAUGGUACUACUUAGGAGAUAAAAUAGAAGGAAAAAUGUUACAUAAACAAUGUUGUAAAUACCCAAAUU
Strigops habroptila (Kakapo) is the source of this 2550-nucleotide long non-coding RNA. NCBI's taxonomy places the organism in Eukaryota, Metazoa, Chordata, Aves, Psittaciformes, Psittacidae. The record is from Ensembl.